Long non-coding RNA from Oncorhynchus keta (chum salmon), 366 nucleotides. RefSeq lists it as uncharacterized. The record is from RefSeq and is a predicted model, not a curated record. The transcript has 3 exons. Lineage: Eukaryota; Metazoa; Chordata; Actinopteri; Salmoniformes; Salmonidae.
UAGUUAGUAUAUUCAGAUAGCUAGGUGAGACAACCACAUAUCACAGUAGUUAGUAUAUUCAGAUAGCUAGGUGGGACAACCGCAUAUCACAGUAGUUAGUAUAUUCAGAUAGCUAGGUGAGACAACCACAUAUCACAGUAGUUAGUAUAUUCAUCUUCAGAUAGCUAGGUGGGACAACCACAUAUCACAGUAGUUAGUAUAUUCAGAUAGCUAGGUGAGACAACCACAUAUCACAGUAGUUAGUAUAUUCAGAUAGCUAGGUGAGACAACCACAUAUCACAGUAGUUAGUAUAUUCAGAUAGCUAGGUGAGACAACCACAUAUCACAGUAGUUAGUAUAUUCAGAUAGCUAGGUGAGACAACCACA